RNAcentral lists this ribosomal RNA (468 nucleotides) under uncultured bacterium. RNAcentral's name for it is "partial 16S ribosomal RNA". It matches the Rfam family "Bacterial small subunit ribosomal RNA", at positions 28 to 507 of the family's 1533-position model. The record is from RNAcentral.
GACGAACGCUGGCGGCGUGCUUAACACAUGCAAGUCGAACGGAAAGGCCCUGCUUUUGUGGGGUGCUCGAGUGGCGAACGGGUGAGUAACACGUGAGUAACCUGCCCUUGACUUUGGGAUAACUUCAGGAAACUGGGGCUAAUACCGGAUAGGAGCUCCUGCUGCAUGGUGGGGGUUGGAAAGUUUCGGCGGUUGGGGAUGGACUCGCGGCUUAUCAGCUUGUUGGUGGGGUAGUGGCUUACCAAGGCUUUGACGGGUAGCCGGCCUGAGAGGGUGACCGGCCACAGUGGGACUGGGAUACGGCCCAGACUCCGACGGGAGGCAGCAGGGGGGUAGAGUGCACAGUGGGCGGAAGCCUGAUGCAGCAACGCCGCGUGCGGGAUGACGGCCUUCGGGUUGUAAACCGCUUUCGCCUGUGACGAAGCGUGAGUGACGGUAAUGGGUAAAGAAGCACCGGCUAACUACGUG